UAUUUCUUUUCUUCUCUCGCACCUAUCUCGCAGCUGAACUCACCUCUUUCUCUUGUUUUUUUUUUCUCUCUGCAAAUUCUAACUAUAGCUCUCUAUCAGCCAUCUUCUUCUUCUUUUACAAUUGAUUCAGAACUGGAAGGUGAAAUAGAAGUCAAUAUCUCCAUCAUCUUCUUCUUCUAUAAUGGAUCCAGAUCCAGUCGCCUCCUUCUCCUGUAUUGUCCAUGAUAAAAUCCUUCUUGCGAUUAAUUAGGCUUCAGAGCUAUAUAAAAGGGGUCUAAAAGAACACAAGAAAAUCAUCCCUGUGCCCACAAAGAUCCUGCAUCUCAACUGUUUGUGAAAAGUUCUAGCUCUCAUCUAGCUUUCACAUCCUCCUUCAGUAGUAGAUAUAAUCAUUUCACAUUGUCUACAUUCCAUCCAUCACCAUCAGCUCUUCCAUCUCCCUUAGGAGUUUGAGUCAUCACAACUGCAUAUCACCUUCACCACCAGCUCGAGAAUUACCGCCACUUUCACAUCAUAUGCACCUACACCUUCAAAAUUUUGCAUCAUACCAUUCACAGCAUCACAAGUUCAACUGCACCGCCAUCUAAAACCAUUCGAUUCGUAGUUGCAGUCCUUGUUAUUAGCUUGCAGUUCAUACUCCACGGAAUCAUCUUUUGCAUCGACACCAUACACUUACCAGUUUUGAAGAGCACCACCAACACUUCAGUCCGCGACACCAGCUCCUCUCGCUAUCCAGCAUCACCACCAUUCGCAUCCACCAAUAUAGCACUAAGCCAGCUGCAGUCUACUUCGGGACAACUUACUGAUCUUAUCACUUCAAAUCCUUCGUCUUCCCCCGCAUUGAGUAGUUCAAUAUGCAAAUUUAUGGUCCGAGAAUCGAGCAGUCUCAUGAAACAAUGGUCUUUUAAUGGGAGGUGAGGACAUAUCAAAGGAGAAAGGAUUCUAGCGCUUGAAUGAUUGUUGAUGGAUCUACUGUUGGUGGUGGAAUAUGCUGGCGGUGUUUGUGACGCUGAUCUGAUGUUUGUGGUAGUGUUUGGAGGUGCAAGUAUUGAUGCUGCUGCUACCAGAAGGUGGUGGUGGUGGUCUCUUAAUAAUUACAUAAAGAGUGCUGUCAGUUAUGAAUCUUGCAGAUGGGUUAUGUAAUUCUCGAUUAAUUGCUUUGGUUAAUGUGUUAUAAAUUGGUACUGCAGGCAGGAUCACCGGUUUGUUGUUAAUGAAGUUAUUAGAAACCAUUUUUUUUAUGAAAUAGUAUGGUGUAUUUAUUUAUUUGGUUUAUUUGUAACUGGCAGCAAGCGGCAAAAAAAGGUGAUGUGAAAAUGAGACUUCAUUUUUUUGUUAGUUGUUUUAGCAAGGGCCUAAUUGUUUAGUAUUGAUUUGUUUUACACGGAUCAUAUAUUGUUGGUUAAUUGGUUUAAUACUGGUUGUUGAUUGCAUCUUUAAGGCUGCUAGAGGCAUGAUGAUAGGGUAUUGAGUUUAAUAAGUGAAGUAAUUACGUAUAUCUUUUGUUGGAUGUAAUCUGAUAGUGUUGUUCCGUUUAAUCGGUGCAGAGGGGAAGAACGAUUAGAGAGCCAGAAUCUGCCUUAUUAACCAUGACAAGAACAAUCAAAACACCUCUGAGUACCGUUUUGAUAUUCGUUUCACCUGUAAAGAUAUUAUGCAACUGCAGAAGUAUGACACAAAGGCAUCUCUGGAGUGUUGGUGCUAUCCCUUUUCAACUUGUAACUGAAAAUGCCCCAUUCAACAGAAAUAAUCCAAUUCAGGUUCGUUAAGCUACCUUUGGACUUGUGCUUGGAUGCUUGCAUAACUAGUAAAAAGUUAUCUCUCCUGCGUGCAAGGGUACUUGAUAGCCACUUUCACAUUAGCAUGGUGGUGACAGACCAGCAAGAUUUGGUGGUCCAAGAGGUGGAGCACCAGGAGAGUUCGGAGGAGUUAAGGGUGAUGCUCCAGCAAAGUAUCAGCCACAAUUUAAGGUAGUUCAGCUUUGUUUGAAAGAAGCAGAGAAACAAACUCGUGGUUCUGUUGUUUGAGACGGCUCCAGCGAAGAAAGUUGAGUCAGCAGCACAUUCUAAACAAGGGUAUUCAGAUUUUCCCUGGUUUUGAUGCUAAGUGCAGGUUUUAUUUCAUCGUAAUUAGGCAAUUUGAACAUGUAUGGAAACUUGUUUUUAAAUAAAUGGUCGUUUCAGUUUAUGAAUCAAUGUUCCAUUUCAUUAUAAUUUGAAUUUCAUUUUAGUCUA
Molecule: RNA transcript, 2234 nt
Organism: Papaver somniferum (opium poppy)
Lineage: Eukaryota; Viridiplantae; Streptophyta; Magnoliopsida; Ranunculales; Papaveraceae
Exons: 9
Source: RefSeq, a predicted model, not a curated record